Molecule: ribosomal RNA, 466 nt
Filed under: uncultured bacterium
Lineage: Bacteria
Description: partial 16S ribosomal RNA
Rfam family: Bacterial small subunit ribosomal RNA
Source: RNAcentral
GACGAACGCUGGUGGCGCGCCUAACACAUGCAAGUCGAACGAGCGAGAGAGAGCUUGCUUUCUCAAGCGAGUGGCGAACGGGUGAGUAACGCGUGAGGAACCUGCCUCAAAGAGGGGGACAACAGUUGGAAACGACUGCUAAUACCGCAUAAGCCCACAGGUCGGCAUCGACCAGAGGGAAAAGGAGCAAUCCGCUUUGAGAUGGCCUCGCGUCCGAUUAGCUAGUUGGUGAGGUAACGGCCCACCAAGGCAACGAUCGGUAGCCGGACUGAGAGGUUGAACGGCCACAUUGGGACUGAGACACGGCCCAGACUCCUACGGGAGGCAGCAGUGGGGAAUAUUGCACAAUGGGGGAAACCCUGAUGCAGCGACGCCGCGUGGAGGAAGAAGGUCUUCGGAUUGUAAACUCCUGUUGUUGAGGAAGAUAAUGACGGUACUCAACAAGGAAGUGACGGCUAACUACGUG